GCGCGAAAACUUUACAAUGCGGGAAACCGUGAUAAGGGAACUCCGAGUGCCCGUAAAAUCGGGCUGUCCAUCUGUUUAAAUAACAGGUGAAGAAAGGGCCGGGCAAGACUGGUGCCAGCCGCCGCGGUAAUACCGGCGGCUCGAGUGGUGGCCACUAUUACUGGGCUUAAAGCGUUCGUAGCUGGUUUGUUAAGUCUCUGGGGAAAUCUGCCGGCUCAACCGGCAGGCGUUCCAGGGAUACUGGCAGACUAGGGACCGGGAGAGGUGAGGGGUACUCCAGGGGUAGGAGUGAAAUCCUGUAAUCCUUGGGGGACCACCUGUGGCGAAGGCGCCUCACCAGAACGGCUCCGACAGUGAGGGACGAAAGCUGGGGGAGCAAACCGGAUUAGAUACCCGGGUAGUCCCGAGCCGUAAACGAUGCGCGUUAGGUGUAUCGGUGACCACGAGUCACCGAGGUGCCGAAGAGAAAUCGUGAAACGUGCCGCCUGGGAAGUACGGUCGCAAGGGCUGAAACUUAAGGAAUUGGGCGGGGGA
This 534-nucleotide ribosomal RNA is filed under the name uncultured Methanomicrobiales archaeon. RNAcentral describes it as "bacterial SSU rRNA". It matches the Rfam family "Archaeal small subunit ribosomal RNA", at positions 339 to 875 of the family's 1478-position model. The record is from RNAcentral. Lineage: Archaea; Methanobacteriati; Methanobacteriota; Methanomicrobia; Methanomicrobiales.